UACGUAGGGUGCGAGCGUUAAUCGGAAUUACUGGGCGUAAAGCGUGCGCAGGCGGUUAUGCAAGACAGAUGUGAAAUCCCCGGGCUCAACCUGGGAACUGCAUUUGUGACUGUAUAGCUGGAGUGCGGCAGAGGGGGAUGGAAUUCCGCGUGUAGCAGUGAAAUGCGUAGAUAUGCGGAGGAACACCGAUGGCGAAGGCAAUCCCCUGGGCCUGCACUGACGCUCAUGCACGAAAGCGUGGGGAGCAAACAGG
This 253-nucleotide ribosomal RNA is filed under the name uncultured bacterium. RNAcentral describes it as "partial 16S ribosomal RNA". It matches the Rfam family "Bacterial small subunit ribosomal RNA", at positions 524 to 776 of the family's 1533-position model. The record is from RNAcentral.